UACAGAGGGUGCGAGCGUUGUUCGGAAUCAUUGGGCGUAAAGAGCGUGUAGGCGGCCACUUAAGUCCUGCGUGAAAUCUUGCGGCUCAACCGCAAGCGGUCGUGGGAAACUGGGUGGCUAGAGUGCGGGAGAGGAGAGUGGAAUUCCUGGUGUAGCGGUGGAAUGCGCAGAUAUCAGGAAGAACACCCGUGGCGAAGGCGGCUCUCUGGAACGCAACUGACGCUGAGACGCGAAAGCGUGGGGAGCAAACAGG
This 253-nucleotide ribosomal RNA is filed under the name uncultured bacterium. RNAcentral describes it as "partial 16S ribosomal RNA". It matches the Rfam family "Bacterial small subunit ribosomal RNA", at positions 524 to 776 of the family's 1533-position model. The record is from RNAcentral.